GGCUAGGAUAUCGGUUGCCCGCAACCGGUGGAGCCGCUGGUGAGAUACCACUCUCGUUGAACUUGGACUCUAAGAGUGACUCCGCAUCCGGACACUCAACAGUUUCAGGUGGACAGUUUCUCUGGGGCAGAGACCUCCUAAAAGGUAACGGAGGUGUACAAAGGUUCCCUCAGGCUGGUCGGAAAUCAGCUGGAGAGUACAAAGAUACAAGGGAGCUUGAUGGCGAGACCUACAAGUCGAGCCGGGACGAAAGUCGGUCUUAGUGACCCGACAGUGCUGUGUGGAAAGGCUGUCGCUCAACGGAUAAAAGUUACUCUAGGGAUAACA
RNAcentral lists this ribosomal RNA (327 nucleotides) under uncultured eukaryote. Its description in RNAcentral is "LSU rRNA". It matches the Rfam family "Bacterial large subunit ribosomal RNA", at positions 2153 to 2479 of the family's 2925-position model. The record is from RNAcentral.